This 64-nucleotide ribosomal RNA is filed under the name Fibrobacter sp. UWB16. RNAcentral describes it as "partial 16S rRNA. Bacterial SSU". It matches the Rfam family "Bacterial small subunit ribosomal RNA", at positions 1 to 62 of the family's 1533-position model. Lineage: Bacteria; Pseudomonadati; Fibrobacterota; Fibrobacteria; Fibrobacterales; Fibrobacteraceae. The record is from RNAcentral.
AAUCAAUGAAGAGUUUGAUCCUGGCUCAGAACGAACGCUGGUGGCGUGUCUUAUACAUGCAAGU